RNAcentral lists this ribosomal RNA (255 nucleotides) under uncultured bacterium. RNAcentral describes it as "partial 16S ribosomal RNA". It matches the Rfam family "Bacterial small subunit ribosomal RNA", at positions 524 to 776 of the family's 1533-position model. The record is from RNAcentral.
UACGUAGGGUGCGAGCGUUGUCCGGAAUUAUUGGGCGUAAAGAGCUUGUAGGCGGUUUGUCGCGUCUGCCGUGAAAAUUCGAGGCUCAACCUCGAACUUGCGGUGGGUACGGGCAGACUAGAGUGUGGUAGGGGGAGACUGGAAUUCCUGGUGUAGCGGUGAAAUGCGCAGAUAUCAGGAGGAACACCGAUGGCGAAGGCAGGUCUCUGGGCCACUACUGACGCUGAGAAGCGAAAGCAUGGGGGAGCGAACAGG